AAUACAGAGUACUAAAGGAACAUGUGGAGCUUGGAAUCACAAUCAAAACCUUAAGUCCAAGGAUCUGGAAGUAAAAUUGUGUUCUCUUCUUGGAUAAAAUUCUGCCCGCCUUUUAAAGUCACAAUUUGUUUGGAAAUUGACAAGACGAUGAGCAGAGAAGCAAGUGUGGCUUCCUAGAAGAAGCUCUUCGUUGGACUUAAUGGAUUGUAUCGCUUACUUAGAUCUACACAUGGGCAGUGCAGCCCUUCUUGUUCUGUGGACCUGUGAGAUCCUUCAUUGGGAAUAGCAGUGGCACGAUGUGUGUGAACCUAACCAAGGUUUUCAAGAUGAACACGUGAAGGAGUUAACACCCAUUGAACUUCCCCCAACAUCCUGGGCACCGUGCCAAUGUGUUCACAUACUUUCUCUUACUUAAUCUUUACAACAGUCCUGUAAGGAUGAUGAUGAUGAAGAUGUGAACACUGUUGUAUAAAAGCCCGUGUCCCAGAUCCUGGCACACAGAGAGACCUGGAUUAACGUGGGCUGAAAUAUUAGCUGACUAUCCUCAGAUUGGUUCUAGAAGGUUGGAAGGAGACUGCUCUGGCAUCUCUUCUGUGGAGCCUCAUCUGUCAUCAGAUAUGCCUCACUGGUAGGGGCAGAGGAGGCCGCAGGAAGGCGAGCAAGGAUGGAGAAUGAGUAGCUAUUUAAGGAGGAAAAAAAAAAAAGAAGAAUGAAUACAGCCCUACAAGAUGACAGAGGAUUUGUCCAUGAGCUAUUAUUGAAUAAGAAAAGCAAGAUAAGCAAAGUCUCAUGUAUUGGAAGUUUUAGCCAGAGCUGUUGGCAAGGAGAACAAAUAAAAGCCAUCCACAUUGGAAAGAAGGAAGUAAAAUAAUCUCUGUUCUAAACAACAGAGGGAAAAUAGACUGGAAAAAAAAUGAGGAGCAGCUCUGGGACUUGUGAGUCUAUAACAAAAGAUCUAACAUUCAUGUCAUUGGAGUUCUGAGAGGAGAAGAGAACUGUCAGCACAAAGCCCUACACCCUGUGAAAAUCUCCACCAACUAACGUGAUACAGUUGACAUUUGGAGCACACUCAACACAACAACAGCAGAAUACACAUUCCUUUCAAGAGCCCACAAAACAUAUACAGAAUAUAUUCUGGGUUAUAAAACAAACUUCUGAAAAAUGAGAAUAGAAAUCAUAUGGAAUAUGUGCUCUUACCACAAUGGAAUCAAAGUAGAAAUUAAAGACAGAUAAGAGAAAAAUCUGCAAAUACUGGCAAACUAAACCACACACUUCUAGAUAAUCCAUGGGUCAAAGAAGAAAGGACUCUCAAGGGAAAUUUGGGGGAGAAAAAAAACAAACCAAAUGAACAAAAUACACAUUGAACUGAAUGGAAAUGCAACUUAUCAAAAUUUGUGGGGCAUGGCUAAAACAGUGUGAAAUGGAAAUUUAUAGUAUAAAUUAGAAAAUAGGAAAAGACUCAAAUUAAUCAUCUAAGCUCCCACCUCAAGAACCUAAGUCAGGGGCAGGGGGAGUGGGAAAGCAAAAUAAAUCCAAAGUAAAGCAUAAGGAAUUACAUAAGUUGCAUAAAUCAGUGAAAUUGAAAACAGAAAAAUUAUAGAGAAAAUAAAUGAAACAAAGAGCUAGUUCUUUGGAAAGAUCAAUAAAAUUGACAAACUUUUAGCAAGAUUGGCAAAAUGGAAAAAGAGAGACAGAAAGGAGAAGAUCCGAAUGAUCAAUAUUAGGAAUAAAACAGUGGUAAUAUUACUGACUUUGAAAAUAACCAGAAAAGAGUAAAGGAAAACUGUGAGCUCUACACAUACUUCUGACAACUUGGAUGAAAUGGACCAAUUAUUUGAAAAAUACUAAGGACCACAAUUCACUCAGUAGGAAGUAAUUUUAGCACCUUUAUAACUAUUGAGGAAAUUGAAUUUGUCAUUGAAAAACUAAAAAAGAAAAAAAAAAAUAACACCUCUAGGCCUAAAUGGCUUCAUUAAAGAACUUUACCAAACAUCUAAAGAAUUAACACCAGUUGUACACAGUAUCUUCCAGAAAACAGAAAAGGAAGGAACACUUUCCAGUUCGUUUUAUAAAAUAUACAUACUGCUAGAAGUUUUAGCCAGCACCAUAGAGCAAAGACAAAACAAAACAAAAUCCCCCAAACCAAAAACCCAAAGAAACAAAGAAAGGAAAAGUAGUGGUGGAGGAAUAAAAAGCAUACACACAGGCUACACGGAUUGCUAAUCACAAAUAAAUUCCUGGUAGGAAUGUAAAUGGCACAGACACUCUGAAAAACUAUUUGGCAGUUUCUUAAAAAAAUCUAAUAUGCCAAUCCCAUAUAAUCCAGCGCUCCUGGGCAAUUUUCCCAGAGAAAUGUAGACUUACAUUCACACAAAAACCUGUAGAUGAAUGUUUAUGGCAGCUUUCUUCAUAAUAGCUCUAAACUGGAAACAACCCAGCUGUCCUUCAACAGGUGAGUGGUUAGACAAAGUGUGGGAUCUCUCUACCAUGGAACGCGACCCAGCAAUAAAAAGACAUGAGUUCUGGUUUGUGAAACAAUGGGCAGGAGUCUCCAGAGCGUCCUACAGAGCGAGAAAACCCAUUCCCAAAGGUCACGCGCUGUUUCAUUCCACUUAUCUAACAUUUUCUCAACAACAAAAUGACAGAAAUGGAGAGCAGAUAGUGCUCGGCAGGGGCUGAGGAGUGGCUGGGGGCAGGAAGGAUCCUUCUGGUGGUCCAAGUGGUCUGUGUCUUGACUGUGCCUGUGUCCACAUCCCAGUUGUGACACUGGACUGUGUAUGGUUUUUUCCAGAUUUUCAAUGGGGGAAAACCGGGUGAAAGGGAGGCUGGAGAUCUCUCUGUGUUACUUCUUACAACUCCUAAGAAUCAUUUAAAAAAGAAAAAAAGAAGAAAAGUUCCAGAUCAAUUAGGAUACGUCAGUUGGUGCCAUAAAAAGGCCUGACAGCUGCUGCUUGACAACAAAUACGCAGACUGAUCUGACUGCCAGCAGAUGUCAUUUGUGCGGCCUGUUUGGUAAUUAUACCUCCUGGGUUCCAUAGUAAUUACAGUGGAACUCACACUAUAGUUCCCGUGCCGGAAAUCACCACAUUCCCUUAGUAAUUACUCAGGGCCAAACACCUUUGGCAGUGGAGGGUUUGCAAUUGAUAGCUGACAAACUGUCCAGAAAUAAAGAACUCAGCUCAAUUUGGAGGAAGGAUUGGGCAGCGGCCCGCACCCCUACCAGCCUCCCCUGACCAUUAGCGAGAUAUCUGGGAAAAGUGUGAAGAAUGUUCUAACCAUAAGUGUGUAACUUGUUUUCGAUAAGAAUGGACCCGAGAUAGUGCUUAAUUUUCCCAUUUAUUGCAACAACAACAAAAAUUAACUCAAGAGGGACCUGAUGGCAAUUCCUUGGCGUCUAGGCGUUGUCUUGUCUCACUUGUCUCCCCAAGUGGAAUCUUGGCAGGGACCCUUAGCAGCAUUCUUUGGGAGCAAGGCGCUGCUCACUUGUGUUGACUGUUCACUAAGUUCUGGAAACUCAUGGACUUUGUUCCCCCCAAAGGCUCGCCACACGGUGAUGUCCAUUUUCAGAAGAAAGAUGUGAGGUUCCGGGAGAGUAAAGCAACCUCCUUGAGGUCAUGAGUGGACUUCAUGAGAGCUGAAAUUUGAACUCAUCCACAAAAUUCCAUCUGUCUUUCUCUUGGUUUCUUUUCCUUUCUUUUCUUUUCUUUUCUUUUCUUUUCUUUUCUUUUCUUUUCUUUUCUUUUCUUUUCUUUUCUUUUCUUUUCUUCUUUUUUUGCCCCAUAGCAGCAGGUGGUUCCUGCAACUUCUCCAAGAUGCUGAUUCCAGAGCUUAGGCCACAAGCAGGGGCAGGAAGUGGAGAAAGGCCGGGCCCCAUAUUGUGGAAAGAACAUUGGAUCUCCAUCCCUGAAUCCUGGAUUAUCCCACUGCCUCCAGCUGAGAGGCUUUGCAUAAAGCCUUGCACUUUCUGUGAGCCUGGGUGUCUUCAUUUGUGAAAUAGUUAUGGUAACAAAUUAUAUAACAAGGGAAAAGGAUGUAGCACAGGGCUGGUCCUGUAGUUCAGUGGGGAUGGAUAUUGUGGCUGGAAGGAAUUCCUUGAGCCUAGGACAGGACAGAGCAGACUUUCUGGCUCUAGCUCAUCACCAGCCCCUGGUUCACAGCAGAUACUGGCUUCUUGGGGAUGCACUCUGGGUACAGGAGGCACAAGAACCUCCCCACUUCCUCUUUGGAGGCUGCAUUUGCAGGGCCUCACUGACUUCUCUAAGGUCUUGCCCACCCGUGUGCUACAAAGGGAAUCUUACUGACUCUAAUGUUCCCCGCUCCAGAAGCCUUCCAGAGCUGGGGUCCACCAGCCAUGUGCUCUCGUCUCUCUCAAGCCAAGCUCACGGGGCCAUCAUUGUCAUUGCCAGGUGCCUGUCUCCCCGUUGGAAAGCCAAUGCCUGGGGAGCAGUGUCCUGCUUCUGUGCUGUGUCUUAGAACUAAAUUAAUAAACGGUGAGUGCAUACAGGCCUCCAGGACUCUUCACCUCAGAAUGCCCAACGCUCAGUCCUCACCGUCCAGGCAGUGUUUGAUGUCAGAGGGAGAUGGGGCUCUGCGUGCAUAUGAGAGAGAGAGAGAGAGAGAGAGACGAGAUGGUUCCAGCCGUAGGCAUUUUGUGUUGAGCAAACAGGAACAUUUCCAGCAGAGCCGAUGCUAUCUUCUCACACCCGUUAAUUUUCAUACUGGGCAUCAGGUGUGCAUAAGGGACCUUUCACAGGAGAGACUUGAAGCCCUCUGGCUCCUGGGCUCACCCCCAUGCUCCCAUGUUGAUUAGCAUCUCUGUUAUUUCCUUCCCCAGAAGUAGAAUCACAGCAUGGCUCCUGGUUUGGG
Molecule: long non-coding RNA, 4866 nt
Organism: Canis lupus familiaris (dog)
Lineage: Eukaryota; Metazoa; Chordata; Mammalia; Carnivora; Canidae
Exons: 5
Source: RefSeq, a predicted model, not a curated record